RNAcentral lists this transfer RNA (72 nucleotides) under Synechococcus phage S-PM2. RNAcentral describes it as "tRNA-Glu". Lineage: Duplodnaviria; Heunggongvirae; Uroviricota; Caudoviricetes; Pantevenvirales; Kyanoviridae. The record is from RNAcentral.
CAAGCUGCCGAAGGAUAUUACAUUGGAGGAAAUCUAACAUACAUCACUGGCGAACUAAACGAAACUAUUGAU